Molecule: ribosomal RNA, 468 nt
Filed under: uncultured bacterium
Lineage: Bacteria
Description: partial 16S ribosomal RNA
Rfam family: Bacterial small subunit ribosomal RNA
Source: RNAcentral
GACGAACGCUGGCGGCGUGCUUAACACAUGCAAGUCGAACGGAAAGGCCCUGCUUUUGUGGGGUGCUCGAGUGGCGAACGGGUGAGUAACACGUGAGUAACCUGCCCUUGACUUUGGGAUAACUUCAGGAAACUGGGGCUAAUACCGGAUAGGAGCUCCUGCUGCAUGGUGGGGGUUGGAAAGUUUCGGCGGUUGGGGAUGGACUCGCGGCUUAUCAGCUUGUUGGUGGGGUAGUGGCUUACCAAGGCUUUGACGGGUAGCCGGCCUGAGAGGGUGACCGGCCACAUUGGGACUGAGAUACGGCCCAGAAUCCUACGGGAGGCAGCAGUGGGGAAUAUUGCACAAUGGGCGGAAGCCUGAUGCAGCAACGCCGCGUGCGGGAUGACGGCCUUCGGGUUGUAAACCGCUUUCGCCUGUGACGAAGCGUGAGUGACGGUAACGGGUAAAGAAGCACCGGCUAACUACGUG